This 241-nucleotide ribosomal RNA is filed under the name uncultured bacterium. RNAcentral's name for it is "partial 16S ribosomal RNA". It matches the Rfam family "Bacterial small subunit ribosomal RNA", at positions 335 to 568 of the family's 1533-position model. The record is from RNAcentral.
ACUCCUACGGGAGGCAGCAGUGGGGAAUAUUGCACAAUGGGCGCAAGCCUGAUGCAGCCAUGCCGCGUGUGUGAAGAAGGCCUUCGGGUUGUAAAGCACUUUCAGAGGGGAGGAGGNAGUGUGUUUAACACCUGCAUUAUUUGACGUUACCUACNGAAGAAAGCACCGGCUAACUCCGUGCCAGCAGCCGCGGUAAUACGGAGGGUGCGAGCGUUAAUCGGAAUUACUGGGCGUAAAGCGC